RNAcentral lists this ribosomal RNA (467 nucleotides) under uncultured bacterium. Its description in RNAcentral is "partial 16S ribosomal RNA". It matches the Rfam family "Bacterial small subunit ribosomal RNA", at positions 28 to 507 of the family's 1533-position model. The record is from RNAcentral.
GAUGAACGCUGGCGGCGUGCUUAACACAUGCAAGUCGAACGGAAAGGCCCAAGCUUGCUUGGGUACUCGAGUGGCGAACGGGUGAGUAACACGUGGGUGAUCUGCCCUGCACUUCGGGAUAAGCCUGGGAAACUGGGUCUAAUACCGGAUAGGACCACAUUUUGGAUGGUGUGGUGGAAAGUUUUUCGGUGUGGGAUGAGCUCGCGGCCUAUCAGCUUGUUGGUGGGGUAAUGGCCUACCAAGGCGUCGACGGGUAGCCGGCCUGAGAGGGUGUACGGCCACAUUGGGAGUGAGAGACGGCCCAGACUCUCACAGGAGGCAGCAGUGGGGAAUAUUGCACAAUGUGCGCAAGCCUGAUGCAGCGACGCCGCGUGGGGGAUGACGGCCUUCGGGUUGUAAACUCCUUUCGCUAGGGACGAAGCGUUUUUGUGACGGUACCUGGAGAAGAAGCACCGGCUAACUACGUG